AUGGCCGACGGCGAGCCCUCCGGCGCGUACAGGGAGUUCAAGGCGCUGGUGGAGGCGGCGGACCGCAAGUUCGCGCGCGCGCGCGACCUGCCGCUCUACGGCGGCGGGGACCACCACAGCCGCAAGGCCUUCAAGGCCUACACGCGCCUCUGGCGCCUGCAGCAGGACCGCCGCCGGGACCUCGUCGCCGCGGGCCUCCGCCGCUGGGAGAUCGGCGAGGUCGCCUCGCGGAUCGGCCAGCUCUACUACGCGCGCUACCUCCGCACCGCCGAGCCGCGCUCGCUCGUCGGCGCCUACGUCUUCUACGAGGCCAUCUACAGCCGCGGCUACUUCGCCGCCCCCGCCCCCGCCAACGCCAACGCCUCCGCGGCCGCGGGGGGCGGCGCCAAGCACCAGGGCCUCCUGAUCCGCUACAAGGAGCUGCGCUUCAUCGCCCGCUUCCUCGUCGUCGCCAUGCUCAUGCGGCGGGCCGAGGCGGUGGACCACCUCGUCGCCCGCCUCCGCUCGCUCGUCCAGGAAUCCAAGUCGGCCUAUCCCAAAACCAACUUCAAGGAAUGGAAACAAGUGCUUCAAGAGCUUGACAGAUUCUUGAAAGCUGACGGAGCAUACAAAGGAUCUAGAUCACUUAGAUAUGAUAACUUGUUUGAUUCUUAUGCAUCAAACCUUGCAUCAAUAGCAAGAUUCCAUUCGAAAAGAGUACUGAAACUGAAGGAAGCUGUAUUAACAAGUUACCACCGAAACGAGGUCAAGUUCACAGAGCUAACUUUGGACACUUUCAGAAUGCUACAGUCUUUAGAAUGGGAGCCCACAGGGUCUUAUCAGAUAGCUGUUAAAGAACUUACAGAAAAUGGCACUAUGAGUGAUCAGAGUGGACCCUCUGGUCUGAUCGAUAUUCACCUUUCUACAGAGAUCUCUGAUGGAAAUCUUCCUUCAAAUCCUCAAAGAGCAAUCAUAUAUCACCCUACAGUCUCUCAUCUUAUAGCGGUUCUUGCCACAAUCUGCGAGGAGCUUUCUCAAGAUAGCAUUUUGCUAAUUUAUAUAUCAGCAUCAGGCCUUGCUGAUCAGAAUGCAUAUCAUAAGUAUGCAUCUAGCUCUUCAUCACGCUCGAGGUCUGCUUCUGCUUUCUCAAUCGAUAAGCCAAAUUCACAUACCGGUUUAGAUGAUCAUGUAUGGCUUGGUCCUCGUGGAAAUGGUGGUCCAAACAAUCUUUAUCCAGAAGAUCUGAUACCAUUUACAAGAUACCCACUUUUCCUUGUAAUUGACAGUGAAAAUAGCCAUGCAUUCAAGGCCAUACAUAAUGCAGAGAAGGGAGAGCCAGCUGCCUUACUUCUUUCUCCUAGGAUUGCAUCGGCCAUGCCUGGUGUAGAAUCAGGCAAUGGAGGCCAAUUUACAUACUUCCUGACUGCUCCGAUGCAAGCCUUCUGCCAAUUAGCUGGAAUAACUUCCGACAUUGACAGCGAUACAUAUGCUAAUGCAGAGAAUAUAAUUUUCUCUGCUUUGGAACAGUAUGAAGAAAUCCUCAGCACAUCUGUUGGAUUGAAUAUUGUCUGGGGUCAAAUUUUACCUGAUCCAUUUCUCAGGCGCCUGAUUCUCAGGUUUAUUUUCUGUCGAGCAGUGUUGUUCUAUUUCCAUCCUGAGGAGCAUGGCGAACAUCUACCAAUCUGCUUACCCAGUCUUCCUGAGUCGGUCUCUCCAAACGCCAAAGCCAUCAAGACUCCCAUCCUUCUGCUUGCAGAAAACCUUGUUGUCAGCAAUCGGUUUCAUUUCGGCAACAGGACAUGA
RNAcentral lists this ribosomal RNA (1782 nucleotides) under Triticum aestivum (bread wheat). Its description in RNAcentral is "partial small subunit ribosomal RNA". Lineage: Eukaryota; Viridiplantae; Streptophyta; Magnoliopsida; Poales; Poaceae. The record is from RNAcentral.